This 422-nucleotide RNase P RNA is filed under the name Candidatus Staskawiczbacteria bacterium. RNAcentral describes it as "RNase P RNA component class A". It matches the Rfam family "Bacterial RNase P class A". From Rfam's summary of the family: Ribonuclease P (RNase P) is a ubiquitous endoribonuclease, found in archaea, bacteria and eukarya as well as chloroplasts and mitochondria. Its best characterised activity is the generation of mature 5'-ends of tRNAs by cleaving the 5'-leader elements of precursor-tRNAs. Lineage: Bacteria; Candidatus Staskawicziibacteriota. The record is from RNAcentral.
UCAGCAAGAUGAGUGAUUGCUCCUUACGAAAGGAGAGGAAAGUCCGAACACCAUCCCGCCAUACAUUUAAUUUUAUAUGAAGGGCGGGAUAAAAUAAUAGUGGCUAACAGCCACCCAUAGCAAUAUGCGAGGUGCGAACAGUGACGUACAAAAUCGAAAGAUUUUGUAUUCCCAGUUUUGGGAAAAUUCUGCAGUAAUGCAGAAGUGAAACGGCUAAAUCCUUAUUGGGUGCAAGAACAAAGUCCCGCCAUUCAUUUAAGGUUAACAGGAAAAACCUGAAAAAUUUCAUGUUUGAAUAUGAAAUUUUUAUCUCAAAAGAUGGAGGGCGGGAUUAAAAGUAGUUCGCUUGACCCCGAUGGCAACAUUGAGGGCAGAUAGAUAAUCACAUAAAACAGAAUUCGGCUUAUAGUCUUGCUGGGGUA